Molecule: RNA transcript, 453 nt
Organism: Arabidopsis thaliana (thale cress)
Lineage: Eukaryota; Viridiplantae; Streptophyta; Magnoliopsida; Brassicales; Brassicaceae
Exons: 1
Source: RefSeq
ACGGCAACUUGUGUAGUUAUUAUAUGUGGUAUAAAGGGGGAAAGAGCAUGAUUAGAUCAUAUGAUGAUCUCUCUUGCUUUCGUAUGUAUAUCACUCACUAGAAAGGAUGAUGUAUUUAGGUCUGAGAAAGCAACACAAGUUAGUGAAUGACGUUUCAAGUUUUUACUUGGAAGGGUUAGAAGAUGGUUCUUCUAGGUGAUGAUAAUGACACUUGACAAAGUAGAGAGUGACAUGGAUUUCUCUUCUUGCAUCAGCUUCCACUUGACUAAAGUGAAUCACGUUUUAAUGUGUAAGCAUAUCUUGUGGGCCUUUCUCAUCCAAUGAUUUGUUUUUUGCUCCUCUAUGUUGUUUUGCAGACACUGUAGCUUCCCCACUUCUUCUUUUUGGUUUUAAAUUAUUGUGUAGCUAGUAACGAUGUGAAGUAUAACAACAGCCAUUUAAAGUUUCAAUUAU